GCAUUACUUGACGCAGUGACCAACAUGUAAUUUUCUGCACCAGAAGACAAGAAGGAAACAGCAAUUUUUAACAAAUAAGCCAUGCCUGUUGCAGCUAUGUAACUGUGGGGGACCUGCCUGUGAGACAUACAGGUCUAACUCCAGCUGGAAUUGAAGGAUUACAAGAAUCAUGAACCGCACAGAAUAUAAAAGCUCAACAAGUGAGGUAACAAAUCAGUCAAGAAGAACUGGAGGAGAGAUUUCUUCAUGUACAUGAUGAUCACAUCUUACUCAAGCAGCAUGCAAAUGAGCAAGAGGAGAAAGCUAAAAGCAUUCCUUGCCAAAACCCUUUUAACUAGAAGUUUGGAAUGAAUUUGCGGUAGAAGAACAUUGAAAAACCUCCAUGUAAACAAAAAACCUGCUUACAGGCAAGUAACUUUCUGUGACAUCCUGAAGUUAUUAGGGAUUUUUUUUUUUGUUUCACUUUUGUUCUUUUAAGUAGAAGCUUCUGUCCACAAGUAUACAAAAAAUAAAACAAGUCCCUUUAAACAAA
Molecule: long non-coding RNA, 532 nt
Organism: Onychostruthus taczanowskii (white-rumped snowfinch)
Lineage: Eukaryota; Metazoa; Chordata; Aves; Passeriformes; Passeridae
Exons: 4
Source: RefSeq, a predicted model, not a curated record